GCCCUUAGAGUUUGAUCCUGGCUCAGGAUGAACGCUAGCGGCAGGCUUAACACAUGCAAGUCGAGGGGUAACAGAGGUAGCUUGCUACUUGCUGACGACCGGCGCACGGGUGCGUAACGCGUAUAGAAUCUACCUUUUACUGGGGGAUAGCCUUUGGAAACGAAGAUUAAUACCCCAUAGUAUUGUUUUUUGGCAUCAUUAAACAAUUAAAGUUUCGGCGGUAAAAGAUGACUAUGCGUUCUAUUAGUUUGUUGGUAAGGUAACGGCUUACCAAGACUACGAUAGAUAGGGGUCCUGAGAGGGAGANCCCCCACACUGGUACUGAGACACGGACCAGACUCCUACGGGAGGCAGCAGUGAGGAAUAUUGGACAAUGGGCGCAAGCCUGAUCCAGCCAUGCCGCGUGUAGGAAGACUGCCCUAUGGGUUGUAAACUACUUUUAUAUGGGAAGAAUAAGGUCUACGUGUAGACUGAUGACGGUACCAUAAGAAUAAGCACCGGCUAACNCCGUGCCAGCAGCCGCGGUAAUAAGGGCG
RNAcentral lists this ribosomal RNA (536 nucleotides) under uncultured Dokdonia sp. RNAcentral's name for it is "bacterial SSU rRNA". It matches the Rfam family "Bacterial small subunit ribosomal RNA", at positions 1 to 531 of the family's 1533-position model. The record is from RNAcentral. Lineage: Bacteria; Pseudomonadati; Bacteroidota; Flavobacteriia; Flavobacteriales; Flavobacteriaceae.